Molecule: ribosomal RNA, 490 nt
Filed under: uncultured bacterium
Lineage: Bacteria
Description: partial 16S ribosomal RNA
Rfam family: Bacterial small subunit ribosomal RNA
Source: RNAcentral
AUUGAACGCUGGCGGCAGGCCUAACACAUGCAAGUCGAACGGUAACAGGAAACAGCUUGCUGUUUCGCUGACGAGUGGCGGACGGGUGAGUAAUGUCUGGGAAACUGCCUGAUGGAGGGGGAUAACUACUGGAAACGGUAGCUAAUACCGCAUAACGUCGCAAGACCAAAGAGGGGGACCUUCGGGCCUCUUGCCAUCAGAUGUGCCCAGAUGGGAUUAGGUAGUAGGUGGGGUAACGGCUCACCUAGGCGACGAUCCCUAGCUGGUCUGAGAGGAUGACCAGCCACACUGGAACUGAGACACGGUCCAGACUCCUACGGGAGGCAGCAGUGGGGAAUAUUGCACGAUGGGCGCAAGCCUGAUGCAGCCAUGCCGCGUGUAUGAAGAAGGCCUUCGGGUUGGAAAGUACUUUCAGCGGGGAGGAAGGGAGUAAAGUUAAUACCUUUGCUCAUUGACGUUACCCGCAGAAGAAGCACCGGCUAACUCCGUG